This 836-nucleotide long non-coding RNA is filed under the name Mytilus galloprovincialis (Mediterranean mussel). Lineage: Eukaryota; Metazoa; Mollusca; Bivalvia; Mytilida; Mytilidae. The record is from RNAcentral.
UUUUUUUGUUGGUGCUUGGUGUCUGAGAUCAUUCCUGGUCUUUGGUAAGGUUGGUGUGUUGUGCCUGAAAUCAUCCCUGGUCUUUGGAAAGGUUGGUGCUUGGUGCCUGAGAUCAUCCCUGGCUCUUUAGUUUGGUUGGUGCAUGGUGCCUGAAAACCUCUUAGGUCUUUGGUUGGGUUGGUGCUCUUUGCCCUAGUUCAUGCCUGUUCUUUGUUUUGGUUGGUGCUCGGUGCUGGAGAUCAUCCCUGGUCUUUGGUUGGAUUGGUGCUUGGUGCCUGAGAACCUCUCAGGUCUUUGGUUGGAUUGGUGCUUGGUGCCUGAGAACCUCUCAGGUCUUUGGUUGGGUUGUUGCUGUACAAUAUUUUGUUAUCAGUGUAGACAAUUUUCUGUCACUUCUUUUGUUUAUGUGUUGUCAUGUCUUUUUUCACCACAUGGGUUUAGAUUGGCCCUUUGGUAUCUUCCUUUUUUUAUGUAUGAUCUUGUUAAUCAUUAUACCUCACUGUUUGAAUUUUUGAGGAUUAAUAUUAUGGAAAUACUAUUAGAGAUAUAUGCUAUUCCCAGAUGUUCCAGGACAUGGAUAACUUCUUGAUUACACUGUGUGUGCUGCUUCAUUGAAAAAAGGUGAAAAUUAAGAUGUCUGGUGUGUUAAAUUUUGUGAGGUAGGAUAUUUCUUGUGUUCCUUCUCAAAUUUGUACACCAGUUAAUACUUCUGAUUGAUUUUUCUGUGUGUUUUAUCUCAUUGACAAAAAUACACAAAAAGACAGAAAUAAUAAAUACCGUAUACCUAUACAUCUUUGUAAGAACUCUGAAAUGGAUAUGAAUAAGAAAGAUUAGUA